UACAGAGGGUGCGAGCGUUAAUCGGAUUUACUGGGCGUAAAGGGCGCGUAGGCGGCUUGGCAAGUGGAUGGUGAAAUCCCUCGGCUUAACCGAGGAACUGCCGUCCAAACUGCUUUGCUUGAGACCGGGAGAGGUGAGUGGAAUUCCCAGUGUAGCGGUGAAAUGCGUAGAUAUUGGGAGGAACACCAGUGGCGAAGGCGGCUCACUGGACCGGUACUGACGCUGAGACGCGAAAGCGUGGGGAGCAAACAGG
Molecule: ribosomal RNA, 253 nt
Filed under: uncultured bacterium
Lineage: Bacteria
Description: partial 16S ribosomal RNA
Rfam family: Bacterial small subunit ribosomal RNA
Source: RNAcentral